UACGAAGGGGGCUAGCGUUGUUCGGAAUUACUGGGCGUAAAGGGCGCGUAGGCGGUGUGUCAAGUCAGGCGUGAAAUCCCCGGGCCUAACCUGGGAACUGCAUUUGUGACUGCAUGGCUAGAGUUUGUCAGAGGGGGGUGGAAUUCCACGUGUAGCAGUGAAAUGCGUAGAUAUGUGGAGGAACACCGAUGGCGAAGGCAGCCCCCUGGGAUGUGACUGACGCUCAUGUACGAAAGCGUGGGGAGCAAACAGG
Molecule: ribosomal RNA, 253 nt
Filed under: uncultured bacterium
Lineage: Bacteria
Description: partial 16S ribosomal RNA
Rfam family: Bacterial small subunit ribosomal RNA
Source: RNAcentral